RNAcentral lists this unclassified non-coding RNA (4547 nucleotides) under Hevea brasiliensis (rubber tree). The record is from RNAcentral. Lineage: Eukaryota; Viridiplantae; Streptophyta; Magnoliopsida; Malpighiales; Euphorbiaceae.
AAUUGAUCUUAUAAUUGAGGAUUUAAAUUCUCUCUCCUUCCUCUUUAAAAAUAUUUCAUUUUUAAUAAGAAACCAGGAGAGGCGGGCCGGCAUUAAAAAUGAACGUUGCUCAUAUUUGAGGAUGAUUCAGUUUACUCCCAAGAAUUAAAACUCAUAUCUUUUUACGUGGUUAUGUCAGUGUGCCAGUUUUCUUUGUUUAUUUUUUUUCUCAAUUUGGAUUUUUUUGGGAGAUUGAGCAUGUGGGUUUUGUAGCAAAUUCAUCACAACCCAACUUCCUCAAUUUCUUUUUCAUAUUUUCAUCUCAAAAGUGCCAGGACAAGGUGUGGUGCUUCGUUUUAUGGGCGUGUUUGUUGAUAUGCAAAACGAUGGUGCUGCAAAGGGUUUUUGGGUCUUCACUAGUUUUGUUAGGAGAAAGCAUGUUGAUUCAGUUCUCAUGAGGAGAAAGCCUGGCCAACAGUUGGCUAAGAAACUUUCUGCUAUUGACCUCAUUGCUAUUGGCGUAGGAGCAACAAUUGGAGCGGGAGUAUAUAUACUUGUUGGAACUGUUGCUAGAGAGCAAACAGGACCAGCUCUUACUAUUUCAUUCUUUAUUGCUGGAAUUGCAGCUGCUCUCUCAGCUUUUUGUUAUGCAGAACUUGCAUGUCGGUGCCCAUCUGCUGGGAGUGCCUAUCAUUAUACAUACAUCUGCAUAGGAGAAGGUGCUGCAUGGUUGGUUGGUUGGGCAUUGAUACUGGAAUAUACAAUUGGAGGUUCAGCAAUUGCUCGUGGCCUAACCCCAAAUCUGGCCUUAUUUUUUGGAGGUGAGGAUAACCUGCCUUCUUACUUGGCCCGUCACACCAUUCCUGGGCUUGGUGUUGUUGUAGACCCAUCAGCAGCUGUUUUGGUUCUUGUUGUCACUGUACUUCUGUGCAUGGGAAUCAAGGAGAGUUCAUUGGCCCAAGCCAUUGUUACAACAGUGAAUAUCUGUGGGAUGCUUUUUAUCAUAAUAGCUGGUGGAUAUUUGGCUUUUAAGACUGGAUGGAUUGGAUAUGAACUUCCUAGCGGGUAUUUCCCUCUUGGUUUAAAUGGGAUGCUUGCAGGAUCUGCAGUAGUGUUCUUUUCAUUCAUUGGUUUUGAUGUUGUUGCUAGCACAGCUGAAGAGGUGAAAAAUCCUCAACGAGAUUUGCCCCUAGGUAUAGGGAUAGCUUUGUCUAUAUGUUGCAUUUUAUACAUGCUUGUAUCUGUUGUUAUUGUUGGCUUGGUGCCAUACUUUGCACUGGACCCGGACACUCCUAUCUCUUCAGCAUUUGCUUCUCAUGGGAUGCAAUGGGCAGUGAAUAUAAUAACAACUGGGGCAGUAACUGCUCUCUGUGCAAGUCUAAUGGGUUCACUUCUUCCACAGCCACGAAUGUUUAUGGCAAUGGCUAGAGAUGGAUUGUUGCCAUCAUUUUUCUCAGACAUUAAUGAACAAACCCAAGUUCCAGUGAAGAGCACAAUUGCAAUUGGCUUUCUUGCUGCCGCCCUGGCUUUUUUUAUGGAUGUUUCACAGUUAGCAGGGAUGGUUAGUGUGGGUACUCUUCUUGCAUUCACUGCUGUUGCAGUUUCAGUCUUAAUACUCAGAUAUGUUCCACCAGAUGAGGUGCCACUCCCUUCUUCGCUUCAUGAAUCUGUUGAUUCGAUGUCACUGCAAUCCAGUGGUGGUGACAUUCAGGGGGUUUCCUCUCAAAACUUUAAGGGUUCUCUCAAUUACAGUGACAGUAGUCAAUGUUUGGUUGACAAAGCAGGGAUAUCAAUUGCACACCCUCUUCUUCAGAAAUGCAUAGCUCAAGGUACUAUUUAGACGUCUUCUUAGGUGCUUGACCAUGACCUUGUCUCAUUCUUUCCCCCUACUUUUGCAUCUUAUGUUUGAACAUGACUUGAGAGCUCAUUUAAGAUGUUUUAAAGAACUUAGAUACUGAAAAGAAAAGCCAACUGAAUAUUCCAAAAGGAUAGGGAUAGUGUCUAUUUUAUCUGGACUUGGAAAUUUUCCCUAGUAGAUCCAUGUUGACUGAAGACAACAUGGUAUGAGCAAGUUAAACGAAUGAGAAUAGAAAACCAAUUAAAAGAAAAGGAAUAUCCAAAAUUUGCAUAUCGAAAAUAGGCUUUUAAGUUACCUUUGUGCUUAAGGGUGGGAAACAAGGACUUUCUCUCUCUCUUUCCCUCCUUCUCUCACCCGAAGAACAUAGGCUAUUCUCUUAAUAGAACCUUCACUCCUUCAACCACUCAAAUUUUCAAUAUUCCUUUUUAUUUCUCAUCAAACAGAUGGCAUUUUGUUUGGCUUGGCUUUUCAUGAUGCAAUACAAGUUAUAUGGUGGGUUUCUCAUGGUGAAGAAUGUAUCCUUCAUUGUUUUUUUUUUUACUUGGAGAAUCAAAGGUGCAUUUGAUAUCAGUUCCUUUGCUUCUUGCCAAUUACACAGAUGAACAAAAUCAACUAAAGAGGAGGAAAAUUGCUGCUUGGAGUAUAACAAUUAUUUGCAUAGGGGUUCUUGUCCUUACAUCUGCAGCUUCAUACGAAUUCCUUCCCAGGUUUGUCAUAUAUUGUAAACCCUUGAACUUUUAUGGUUAAACAAAUAUCAAAUUAUUUGUUUGACCAUGUUCAUCCUUUUUUCUAUUCUCCUUUCUAUUUUGUUUAGGGCCAGGCUUUCAGGAGUUGUUACAUUACCAAAUAAUCUUUAACCACUUCAGCAUUUAAUAUCUUUACUUGAAUCUUCUUUUCCUUGUUCCCACUAGAAUCUGCUUGCAAUUUCAAACCAAUGUAUUUAUAUCUACAUUGUUACUGGUGCCACCUCCAUCAUUCUAUAAACAAAAUCAUUUCUAAAAUGAUCCUAUUUUUUGUUUCUAGAUUUCUAUCCUAACAUUACAAUCUUGGUUAAGUUCACUUUAUGAAUAUAUUUCCGUUUCAUCAUCCAACAUUUACUAUCAUAAAGCAUAGUCUCCUUAUUCACAGUUUUACAAAAUUUAUGCUUCAGAUUAACAGGGCUAUUAUGAUCUAGUUGCACUCCUCUAGUUUUCUUUCCCUGCUAAAUCCAUUCUGCUUUGAUUCUUUGAAUGAUUUCCUUUCGGAUAUCUCCUUUCUUUUCUGUCAUUGAAUCUCAGUACCAAAAAUGACAGCAGUGAAGCAUCUCUACUUCAUUUAAUCUAACAACAUUUCUUUCUUUGUUCAUGGUGCCGCUAAAGUUCUAAUGUGUGUAUUUUGUUUUGCUUGGCCUUUUGAAUUUUAGGAUGCAUCCAGUAGCUCUAGAACCCCUUGCAGUUCUAUGGUUGUCCAUUAAUGACCCAAGUAUUUACCGUAAUAUUGCAGGAAGGAUUAAAUUAUUCACCUAAUAAAAUAUAAUUUAGAGUUGGCAUAUGAAUAUGACACUAAACACACACACGGAAAAAAAAAAGGAAUGAUAUAAAUUACUAGAGAAAAUAAUCAGUUUAGUUUGCUGAGUUCCUACCUUCCUUGGUGAUGAGUCACCUUAGCUCAACUUGCAAUUGAGCUUAAUGUGAAGCUGUGGUAUAAGAGUACCUGACAUGUAAAAGUAAAGCCGAAGAAUGGGAACAUCAUAUACCUUUUUUGGCAGAUGUAGCAUAAUGUUAAUAAGAAGAAUAAAUGGGGAAAGUGUUUUCUGUGGCAUGCAGUACUGCAAGAAAUGUUUUUUCUUACUCUGCAAUUAAUUUGUUUCUUACAAUUAAUAACCUUGUAUUGUUGAUUCUACCAGCCUUCUGCGCUUCACAUUGUGUGCUGUGGGUGGAGCUUUUGUGUUGUGCAGUUUGAUUGUUCUAGCUUGUAUGGCACAGGAUAAUGCAAGGCACAGCUUUGGACACACAGGAGGUAUUUUCAAAUUGAGUGAGGCUUAAAUACCAAUUAAUGGGUCCCAUCUACUAAUUCCUUAAUCAUGAUGGCCACUUCAAAGCUCCACUAACUGUGGUUUUCAACCUAAAUGGUGGGUUAAUAUGAUGACAUUUAAAAGUGGCUUGGGAAUUGGUUAAAGUAAAAUAUUAAACUACCAAUUCAACCCACAUAAGAUAUCAAAUUGGUUAAAAUAACAAGUUAAAUCACUUUGUGGAAUUUCUUGGAUGUUCAAAACUGAAAGUAUUAGUUCUAGCUUAUAAAAAUCCAACUUUAAAGGAACAUAAAGUUGGAUUUUUUGCAAGUUAGAGAACAAGUUAACAGAUAAAUGAUUUGAAAUUGGUUUACUGUGUUACUCGGUCAAAUUCUUGUUUCUGACUUAGCUAGUAUGUUGUAUAGUAGUGUAAUUAGUAUCAGCUUAAAAGCUUUUCAUAAACAUACAAUAAUCAUCUAAGAGAUUAUUUGUUGUCUUCUGUACAGGUUUUGUUUGCCCUUUUGUUCCAUUUUUACCUGUUGCAUGCAUUCUUGUCAACACCUACUUGUUAGUUAAUCUGGGGCCCAGCACAUGGAUCCGUGUUUCAAUAUGGCUACUAGCAGGAGAAUUGGUUUAUUUAUUUUAUGGCCAGACACACAGUUCACUGAUAAAUGCGGUGUAUGUUCCUACUGCUUAUGCUGAUGAGAUCUAUCGCACCUC